This 301-nucleotide ribosomal RNA is filed under the name uncultured bacterium. RNAcentral describes it as "partial 16S ribosomal RNA". It matches the Rfam family "Bacterial small subunit ribosomal RNA", at positions 509 to 807 of the family's 1533-position model. The record is from RNAcentral.
CAGUAGCCACGGGAAUACGUAGGUGGCAAGCGUUGUCCGGAAUUAUUGGGCGUAAAGCGCGCGCAGGUGGUUUAAUAAGUCUGAUGUGAAAGCCCACGGCUCAACCGUGGAGGGUCAUUGGAAACUGUUAAACUUGAGUGCAGGAGAGAAGAGUGGAAUUCCUAGUGUAGCGGUGAAAUGCGUAGAGAUUAGGAGGAACACCAGUGGCGAAGGCGGCUUUUUGGCCUGUAACUGACACUGAGGCGCGAAAGCGUGGGGAGCAAACAGGAUUAGAUACCCGCGUAGUCCCUGUCUCUUAUAC